RNAcentral lists this ribosomal RNA (460 nucleotides) under uncultured bacterium. Its description in RNAcentral is "partial 16S ribosomal RNA". It matches the Rfam family "Bacterial small subunit ribosomal RNA", at positions 338 to 795 of the family's 1533-position model. The record is from RNAcentral.
CCUACGGGAGGCAGCAGUGAGGAAUAUUGGUCAAUGGCCGUAAGGCUGAACCAGCCAAGUAGCGUGAGGGAAGACUGCCCUAUGGGUUGUAAACCUCUUUUAUGCGGGGAUAAAGGUGUCCACGUGUGGAUGUUUGCAGGUACCGCAUGUAUAAGGACCGGCUAAUGCGGUGCCAGCAGCCGCGGUACUACGGAAGGUCCGGGCGUUAUCCUGAUUUGUUGGGUUUAAAGGGAGCGUAGGCCGGUCUUUAAGCGUGCCGUGAAAUUUUUUGGGUCAACCAUGAGAGUGCGGCGCUUACUGGAGACCUUGAGUGAGCGGAAGGCAGGCGGAAUUCGUGGUGUAGCGGUGAAAUGCUUAGAUAUCACGAAGAACACCGAUGGCGAAGGCAGCCUGCCGCAGCGUUACUGACGCUGAAGCUCGAAAGCGCGGGUAUCAAACAGGAUUAGAUACCCCAGUAGUC